Molecule: long non-coding RNA, 1438 nt
Organism: Lynx canadensis (Canada lynx)
Lineage: Eukaryota; Metazoa; Chordata; Mammalia; Carnivora; Felidae
Exons: 4
Source: RefSeq, a predicted model, not a curated record
CCCCCCCCCCCGCUCUCUCUCUGUCUCUCUCUGUCUCUCUCUCUUUCUCUCAAAAAUAAAUACAUACUAAAAAAAUAACUUGUCUGAGGUCCUCAUACUCUUAGGAUGAUAUAAAAGCAUGUGACUUACAGGGUAUAUAAAAGCAUGUGACCCCACUUUCUCAGCUUUCAAACCUAAGCCCUGGAAAAUAAGUCAUAACCACAUAAUUAGCAAAACCACAACUUCAGUCAGUUUACAAAAAUGUGUCCAAAGACAAGCAAUGCCAACAAGAUAGGUAUAAAAAAGAAAAAAGAGAGAGAGAGACAGAGAGAGCCAGGGGAGAAAACAUAAGGUAACACUUUCUAAGGGAGGCUGGAAGUAUUUCUUACGUUUUGGAUAAAAGUUGCUUGGAUGGAUGAGAUACAGGCAGGAAUUUUGUCUUGGAGCGAGAAUGUGAGCAAAGGUUUACAGCAGCAAUAAGUUGGUACCGAAAAAUGAGGAAGAAGGCAAGCUCAGAGACCGAGAUGAGACAGAUUGCAGUGUAUGUUAUCCUGAACAUGGACCAGAAGAAAGGUGGGGUAGAAAAUCCAGAAAAAUCUAAAGGUAUCGUGGCAGGUCUCAGUGACUUGCUGGACAUAAUCUACCUUCACUGUUUUGUAAAGGAAGAGGAGGCCAGGAAUACCAAGGUAAUGGCGCUCAUGGAAAACAGUGAGAGCGUUGGGAGUGUGGCUGAGCUUUGGAGGAACAACAGAGGCAGCCAUUUCAAUUUCCAACCGAGGAGAAUCACCCAGAUAUAUGAACUUCUCUACCUAACAUUGAAAUUUCUCUUAAAAUACCUGCCACUAUGAUGAGGUAAAAAACUUCCCAACUAAAAUGCUUCAGUACUCCGCUUACAAAAAAAACUCUGAAGUUAUUCUAUACUCUUAGGAACAUUCCUAAAGCCAGAACAGCACGGGAUCAUUCUGGGGCUCGAGAAAUCAAUCUUGACAAAGGAUGACAAGAGGGCACCUUGGACCUCUGCAUUCUUCUGCUUGGCAGGACAAAUGGGCAUUGCAGUAGAGACAGGACCCCAAGGAGACACAGUGCUGGGAAAAUUCCCUGCAACCUGGGGGACAUGGUGAAGAGUCUCAGAGAUCGUGCACUGCGACCCAGUGUUCUCAGAUGCCCCGAAUGAGGCUGAAGUGAAGCUCUAAGUCAGUAGGAAACUGAUGCCCGAACCAAAAUCUCUGCCAAGGGCACAGAAGAAGUUACCAACCUGAAUUUCGUGUGUCCCCUCUUGGACCAGCUGUGUAUAUUUGUCAUUUAAAGAUACACAGGUAUUCAUCCACAGAGGAUCAUAAGCACUGGGAAAUGUCUGAAAAUGACCUACGCCACCCAGCUGAAUUGAGUGGUUGUGUCAGAUUCUGAACCCAGAUCAGAUUCAAAUCCUAAGCUCCUUCCAUUGUACCUUUUGGGGAAC